The sequence is a small nuclear RNA, 154 nucleotides long. Its record names the gene U4. It matches the Rfam family "U4 spliceosomal RNA". Rfam says of the family: U4 small nuclear RNA (U4 snRNA) is a component of the major U2-dependent spliceosome. The record is from Ensembl.
AGCUUUUUUCAGUGGCAGUAUCAUAGCCAAUGAGGUUUAUCCAAGGCGUGAUUAUUGCUAGGAAAGAAUUAAGUUACAAUUAAAUUACACUAAAAACACAGGAAAUCAACACCCACAAUAAUCACAUCCUAAUUAUUUUACUACAUUUUAUUGU